This 468-nucleotide ribosomal RNA is filed under the name uncultured bacterium. Its description in RNAcentral is "partial 16S ribosomal RNA". It matches the Rfam family "Bacterial small subunit ribosomal RNA", at positions 28 to 507 of the family's 1533-position model. The record is from RNAcentral.
GACGAACGCUGGCGGCGUGCUUAACACAUGCAAGUCGAACGGAAAGACCCUGCUUUUGUGGGGCGCUCGAGUGGCGAACGGGUGAGUAACACGUGAGUAACCUGCCCUUGACUUUGGGAUAACUUCAGGAAACUGGGGCUAAUACCGGAUAGGAGCUCCUGCUGCAUGGUGGGGGUUGGAAAGUUUCGGCGGUUGGGGAUGGACUCGCGGCUUAUCAGCUUGUUGGUGGGGUAGUGGCUUACCAAGGCUUUGACGGGUAGCCGGCCUGAGAGGGUGACCGGCCACAUUGGGACUGAGAUACGGCCCAGACUCCUACGGGAGGCAGCAGUGGGGAAUAUUGCACAAUGGGCGGAAGCCUGAUGCAGCAACGCCGCGUGCGGGAUGACGGCCUUCGGGUUGUAAACCGCUUUCGCCUGUGACGAAGCGUGAGUGACGGUAAUGGGUAAAGAAGCACCGGCUAACUACGUG